This 472-nucleotide long non-coding RNA is filed under the name Durio zibethinus. Its description in RNAcentral is "long non-coding RNA (DZIB_LNC001092)". Lineage: Eukaryota; Viridiplantae; Streptophyta; Magnoliopsida; Malvales; Malvaceae. The record is from RNAcentral.
UUUUUUUCAUUUCCUUCAUUUCUAUUUUUCUUUUUUUUUUCUUGCUAAAAUUUGCUAUUUUAUAUAAACAAUAAAAACCAAAAUUUCCCUUCUUUUCUUUCUACAAAUCAUACUUCUUUCCAUUCUCUCCAACUUCUCUGACCUUUGAAUCAGAAACAAUCGUUUUUUAAGAAUGUGAUGACUUCUUAUUUCCAGCACCGCCUUGUAUCACCAAUCAUCGCAGUUCAUCGACGGUUAAAAAACACGUAAAGUUCCUUUUCGAUUCCUCUUCACCUUUCUGAAACUUUAGUAAGCUUUGAUUUUUGAAAAUCCUUUCAAAAUGUCUUAGAUCUAGAUCAAAAGUUCCCCACCGCCAAGACCACCAUCACCUUUCCGAAUGCCCAAUUUCCCUUCCUUCUUCCACUUCUUUUCUUCGAUCUAGAACCCUAACAAGAAACCUUAAACAACUAAGCUGAGAUUUUAAAGUACCCAU